CCGAAAGGCGGGAGUGCCCGCAAGGGAGCGCGGAGACAGGUGGUGCAUGGCUGUCGUCAGCUCGUGUCGUGAGAUGUUGGGUUAAGUCCCGCAACGAGCGCAACCCUCACCCCUUGUUGCUACCAGGUAAAGCUGGGCACUCUAGGGGAACUGCCCCGGUCAACGGGGAGGAAGGCGGGGAUGACGUCAAGUCAUCAUGCCCCUUACGUCCUGGGCUACACACGUGCUACAAUGGCCGGUACAAAGGGAUGCCACACCGUGAGGUAGAGCUAAACCCAAAAAGCCGGUCUAAGUUCAGAUUGGAGUCUGCAACUCGACUCCAUGAAGGAGGAAUCGCUAGUAAUCGCGUAUCAGCACGACGCGGUGAAUACGUUCCCGGGCCUUGUACACACCGCCCGUCACACCACGAAAGCCAG
This 416-nucleotide ribosomal RNA is filed under the name uncultured Methylomirabilota bacterium. Its description in RNAcentral is "bacterial SSU rRNA". It matches the Rfam family "Bacterial small subunit ribosomal RNA", at positions 1001 to 1414 of the family's 1533-position model. The record is from RNAcentral. Lineage: Bacteria; Methylomirabilota (SeqCode).